RNAcentral lists this ribosomal RNA (253 nucleotides) under uncultured bacterium. RNAcentral's name for it is "partial 16S ribosomal RNA". It matches the Rfam family "Bacterial small subunit ribosomal RNA", at positions 524 to 776 of the family's 1533-position model. The record is from RNAcentral.
UACGAGGGGUGCAAGCGUUGUUCGGAAUUAUUGGGCGUAAAGGGCAGGUAGGUGGUCUUGAAAGUCUGCUGUGAAAUCCCCGAGCUUAACUUGGGAAGUGCGGCAGAUACUCCAAGACUAGAGUACUGGAGGGGUUCGUGGAAUUCCUGGUGUAGCGGUGAAAUGCGUAGAUAUCAGGAGGAACACCAGAGGCGAAGGCGGCGAACUUGACAGUUACUGACACUCAACUGCGAAAGCGUGGGGAGCAAACAGG